Biomphalaria pfeifferi is the source of this 1028-nucleotide non-coding RNA. NCBI's taxonomy places the organism in Eukaryota, Metazoa, Mollusca, Gastropoda, Planorbidae. The record is from the annotation of a GenBank genome assembly.
UGGUCAGUCAGACAAGUUUUAUUUACAUUUUUUUUUUAAAAGCUAGUCAGAAAAACAAAAUGAAAAAAAAAAAAGCUUUGGCACAAAAUAAGAGAAACAAGUUAAAAAAAAAAAAAAAAAAGCAUCACAGAUUUAUCUACAGUUUACUUACAACAAUUUAUCUAAAACUUGUUUAAUUUACAGGCAUAUUCCAUCCUUAAAUUUUUUACCCAAAGCAGCUUUACAAUAGAGCAUCAAAAUUGUGUCCAUAAAAAUCAGGAAUUCAUUUUUUUUUUCCCCUUCAUAAAGGCCUUAGUAUUAUAUUUGGAGGUUUAUAAUUUACCAGAAACUAAUACUUGAACUGUCACUUCUUUAUAACAACUGAAAAGUCUGGUCAGUUUUGCACAAUUUAGUCUGAGCGUUGUGUCACGGUAAAACAAUUUUACAGUUACUUUAAAAUAAACACUCAAAAGAAGUUUGCGUUUCUAUAUACAAAUACAAAUGGCAAGAUUAAAUGUAAAUAAAAAUAUUUUUUUUUUUUGUUAUUUACAACUUUUAUCCACUGACUACAGUUGGUAAUCCUAUACGUUCCAUCCAAAGAGAAGAUAAUUACAUCCAAGCCAUAUUCAUGUGUUAAUCUAGUCAUGCAUAUUAUAAAAUUAAUUGGUCAUUGGUUUUCCUGGCUCAUACAGGCAACCUGCUCCAUGCUAUAAUGGCACCAAGUGAAGAAGGAGCACUUGUACAAAUUUAUCCUAGCAUAUGAGAAGAGAAAUGUGCAUUAAUGUUCUUCAAUGUAUUCUCCUUCAACCGAACAAGACUUUGAUGAACAGCAUUUGAUUUGGAAUACUGAAAUCUUACUCAAUUUUGACAAUUUGCAAAACUUAAGAUACAUUUUUAGGCUUAUCAAAACAAACAUAGUCAAAGCCAUAGCUAAAAAUCAGAAAACACAAUUGCUUUUUUUAAAAAAAUAUCAAACGUAACCCUCUUUAAAAUAUAUUUCACAUUUUUGAAUGCAAUAUUUGUAAAACAAAAAAAAAAAAAAAAAAAAU